GCAUGAUAGUAUUGUUGAUCCAGUGAACCCUAUGUUCUGUUUGAGCUAAUCUUCUCGCACAUUGAUGUAAACCUUGACAUUGCUGAUGGUUCAGCAUGCACAGCAUUUAUUCAGAGAAAGAGUUUUCUGUUGGAGAAAUACUUGCUGUACAAUUGUUUCUCUGGUGUGAAACAUUUUUUUUUGGCAAAGCUUUAUUUGGUUGAUUGAUCAUGUCUUGAAGAGUUCUACAGUCUGGGCCUUCAUAAAACAAGGUACGCGAAGCCGCAGAAGCCAUUAAACGUCAGUCUUGGGAUACCAAACUCCCUUGCGAUGUCACCUGUCCACCAGUGCAUCAUGUCUGAUAUGAAGCAGCUUGGAGAUUGGCGUUGCUGGCUGAGGUAUGCAACGAG
Long non-coding RNA from Sorghum bicolor (sorghum), 389 nucleotides. RefSeq lists it as uncharacterized. The transcript is spliced from 3 exons. The record is from RefSeq and is a predicted model, not a curated record. NCBI's taxonomy places the organism in Eukaryota, Viridiplantae, Streptophyta, Magnoliopsida, Poales, Poaceae.